UACGAAGGAUCCAAGCGUUAUCCGGAUUUAUUGGGUUUAAAGGGUGCGUAGGCGGGUUGUUAAGUCAGUGGUGAAAUCUUGCAGCUUAACUGUAAAAUUGCCAUUGAUACUGACGAUCUUGAGUACAUUUGAAGUGGGCGGAAUAUGUCAUGUAGCGGUGAAAUGCUUAGAGAUGACAUAGAACACCGAUUGCGAAGGCAGCUCACUAAACUGUAACUGACGCUGAGGCACGAAAGCGUGGGGAU
This 245-nucleotide ribosomal RNA is filed under the name uncultured bacterium. RNAcentral's name for it is "partial 16S ribosomal RNA". It matches the Rfam family "Bacterial small subunit ribosomal RNA", at positions 524 to 768 of the family's 1533-position model. The record is from RNAcentral.